AGGAUGAACGCUGGCGGCGUGCUUAACACAUGCAAGUCGAACGGUGAAGCAGGAGCUUGCUCCUGUGGAUCAGUGGCGAACGGGUGAGUAACACGUGAGAAAUCUGCCCUGGACUCUGGGAUAAGCGUUGGAAACGACGUCUAAUACCGGAUACGAGCUUCAGCCGCAUGGCUAGGAGCUGGAAAGAACUUCGGUCCAGGAUGAUCUCGCGGCCUAUCAGCUAGUUGGUGAGGUAACGGCCCACCAAGGCGACGACGGGUAGCCGGCCUGAGAGGGUGACCGGCCACACUGGGACUGAGACACGGCCCAGACUCCUACGGGAGGCAGCAGUGGGGAAUAUUGCACAAUGGGCGCAAGCCUGAUGCAGCAACGCCGCGUGAGGACGACGGCCGUUCGGUUGUAACCUACGUUUAGUAGGAAGAAGCGAGAGUGACGUACUGCAGAAAAGCACGGACUAACUACGUGACCGAGACACGCCGCGGUAACUCGU
RNAcentral lists this ribosomal RNA (490 nucleotides) under uncultured soil bacterium. RNAcentral describes it as "bacterial SSU rRNA". It matches the Rfam family "Bacterial small subunit ribosomal RNA", at positions 26 to 528 of the family's 1533-position model. The record is from RNAcentral.